UUAAGCGACUAAGCGUACACGGUGGAUGCCCUGGCAGUCAGAGGCGAUGAAGGACGUGCUAAUCUGCGAAAAGCGUCGGUAAGGUGAUAUGAACCGUUAUAACCGGCGAUGUCCGAAUGGGGAAACCCAGUGUGAUUCGUCACACUAUCGUUAACUGAAUACAUAGGUUAACGAGGCGAACCGGGGGAACUGAAACAUCUAAGUACCCCGAGGAAAAGAAAUCAACCGAGAUUCCCCCAGUAGCGGCGAGCGAACGGGGAGCAGCCCAGAGUCUGAAUCAGCUUGUGUGUUAGUGGAACGGUCUGGAAAGUCCGACGGUACAGGGUGAUAGUCCCGUACACCAAAAUGCACAGGCUGUGAACUCGAAGAGUAGGGCGGGACACGUGGUAUCCUGUCUGAAUAUGGGGGGACCAUCCUCCAAGGCUAAAUACUCCUGACUGACCGAUAGUGAACCAGUACCGUGAGGGAAAGGCGAAAAGAACCCCGGCGAGGGGAGUGAAAAAGAACCUGAAACCGUGUACGUACAAGCAGUGGGAGCACCUUCGGGUGUGACUGCGUACCUUUUGUAUAAUGGGUCAGCGACUUAUAUUCUGUAGCAAGGUUAACCGUAUAGGGGAGCCGCAGGGAAACCGAGUCUUAACUGGGCGUUAAGUUGCAGGGUAUAGACCCGAAACCCGGUGAUUCAGCCAUGGGCAGGUUGAAGGUUGGGUAACACUAACUGGAGGACCGAACCGACUAAUGUUGAAAAAUUAGCGGAUGACUUGUGGCUGGGGGUGAAAGGCCAAUCAAACCGGGAGAUAGCUGGUUCUCCCCGAAAGCUAUUUAGGUAGCGCCUCGUGAACUCAUCUUCGGGGGUAGAGCACUGUUUCGGCUAGGGGGUCAUCCCGACUUACCAACCCGAUGCAAACUACGAAUACCGAAGAAUGUUAUCACGGGAGACACACGGCGGGUGCUAACGUCCGUCGUGAAGAGGGAAACAACCCAGACCGCCAGCUAAGGUCCCAAAGUCAUGGUUAAGUGGGAAACGAUGUGGGAAGGCACAGACAGCCAGGAUGUUGGCUUAGAAGCAGCCAUCAUUUAAAGAAAGCGUAAUAGCUCACUGGUCGAGUCGGCCUGCGCGGAAGAUGUAACGGGGCUAAACCAUGCACCGAAGCUGCGGCAGCGACACUAUGUGUUGUUGGGUAGGGGAGCGUUCUGUAAGCCUGCGAAGGUGACCUGUGAGGGUUGCUGGAGGUAUCAGAAGUGCGAAUGCUGACAUAAGUAACGAUAAAGCGGGUGAAAAGCCCGCUCGCCGGAAGACCAAGGGUUCCUGUCCAACGUUAAUCGGGGCAGGGUGAGUCGACCCCUAAGGCGAGGCCGAAAGGCGUAGUCGAUGGGAAACAGGUUAAUAUUCCUGUACUUGGUGUUACUGCGAAGGGGGGACGGAGAAGGCUAUGUUAGCCGGGCGACGGUUGUCCCGGUUUAAGCAUGUAGGCUGGUUAUCCAGGCAAAUCCGGAUAAUCAAGGCUGAGGUGUGAUGACGAGGCACUACGGUGCUGAAGUAACAAAUGCCCUGCUUCCAGGAAAAGCCUCUAAGCAUCAGGUAACAUCAAAUCGUACCCCAAACCGACACAGGUGGUCAGGUAGAGAAUACCAAGGCGCUUGAGAGAACUCGGGUGAAGGAACUAGGCAAAAUGGUGCCGUAACUUCGGGAGAAGGCACGCUGGUGUGUAGGUGAAGCCCCUGCGGGUGGAGCUGAGACCAGUCGAAGAUACCAGCUGGCUGCAACUGUUUAUUAAAAACACAGCACUGUGCAAACACGAAAGUGGACGUAUACGGUGUGACGCCUGCCCGGUGCCGGAAGGUUAAUUGAUGGGGUUAUCCGUAAGGAGAAGCUCUUGAUCGAAGCCCCGGUAAACGGCGGCCGUAACUAUAACGGUCCUAAGGUAGCGAAAUUCCUUGUCGGGUAAGUUCCGACCUGCACGAAUGGCGUAAUGAUGGCCAGGCUGUCUCCACCCGAGACUCAGUGAAAUUGAACUCGCUGUGAAGAUGCAGUGUACCCGCGGCAAGACGGAAAGACCCCGUGAACCUUUACUAUAGCUUGACACUGAACAUUGAGCCUUGAUGUGUAGGAUAGGUGGGAGGCUUUGAAGCGUGGACGCCAGUCUGCGUGGAGCCAACCUUGAAAUACCACCCUUUAAUGUUUGAUGUUCUAACGUUGGCCCCUUACCGGGGUUGCGGACAGUGUCUGGUGGGUAGUUUGACUGGGGCGGUCUCCUCCCAAAGCGUAACGGAGGAGCACGAAGGUUAGCUAAUCCUGGUCGGACAUCAGGAGGUUAGUGCAAUGGCAUAAGCUAGCUUGACUGCGAGCGUGACGGCGCGAGCAGGUGCGAAAGCAGGUCAUAGUGAUCCGGUGGUUCUGAAUGGAAGGGCCAUCGCUCAACGGAUAAAAGGUACUCCGGGGAUAACAGGCUGAUACCGCCCAAGAGUUCAUAUCGACGGCGGUGUUUGGCACCUCGAUGUCGGCUCAUCACAUCCUGGGGCUGAAGUAGGUCCCAAGGGUAUGGCUGUUCGCCAUUUAAAGUGGUACGCGAGCUGGGUUUAGAACGUCGUGAGACAGUUCGGUCCCUAUCUGCCGUGGGCGCUGGAGAAUUGAGGGGGGCUGCUCCUAGUACGAGAGGACCGGAGUGGACGCAUCACUGGUGUUCGGGUUGUCAUGCCAAUGGCACUGCCCGGUAGCUAAAUGCGGAAGAGAUAAGUGCUGAAAGCAUCUAAGCACGAAACUUGCCCCGAGAUGAGUUCUCCCUGAGACUUUAAGUCUCCUGAAGGAACGUUGAAGACGACGACGUUGAUAGGCCGGGUGUGUAAGCGCAGCGAUGCGUUGAGCUAACCGGUACUAAUGAACCGUGAGGCUUAACCU
This 2899-nucleotide ribosomal RNA is filed under the name Klebsiella pneumoniae. Its description in RNAcentral is "bacterial LSU rRNA". It matches the Rfam family "Bacterial large subunit ribosomal RNA". The record is from RNAcentral. Lineage: Bacteria; Pseudomonadati; Pseudomonadota; Gammaproteobacteria; Enterobacterales; Enterobacteriaceae.